RNAcentral lists this ribosomal RNA (440 nucleotides) under uncultured Methanosaeta sp. RNAcentral's name for it is "bacterial SSU rRNA". It matches the Rfam family "Archaeal small subunit ribosomal RNA", at positions 898 to 1338 of the family's 1478-position model. Lineage: Archaea; Methanobacteriati; Methanobacteriota; Methanomicrobia; Methanotrichales; Methanotrichaceae. The record is from RNAcentral.
CGGUUUAAUUGGAUUCAACGCCGGAAAUCUCACCGGGGCGACAGCAAUAUGAAGGUCAGGCUGAAGACCUUACCCGAUUAGCUGAGAGGUGGUGCAUGGCCGUCGUCAGUUCGUACUGUGAAGCAUCCUGUUAAGUCAGGCAACGAGCGAGACCCACGUUCACAGUUGCCAGCAUACCCUCCGGGGUGAUGGGUACACUGUGGAGACCGCCGCUGCUAAAGCGGAGGAAGGAGUGGGCAACGGUAGGUCAGUAUGCCCCGAAUCUCCCGGGCUACACGCGGGCUACAAUGGUUGGUACAAUGGGCAUCUACCCCGAAAGGGGAAGGAAAUCUCUUAAAGCCAAUCGUAGUUCGGAUUGAGGGCUGCAACUCGCCCUCAUGAAGCUGGAAUCCGUAGUAAUCGCGUUUCAACAGAACGCGGUGAAUACGUCCCUGCUCCUU